CAGUAGCCGCGGGAAUACGGAGGGAGCUAGCGUUGUUCGGAAUUACUGGGCGUAAAGCGCGCGUAGGCGGUUACUCAAGUCAGAGGUGAAAGCCCGGGGCUCAACCCCGGAACUGCCUUUGAAACUAGGUGACUAGAAUCUUGGAGAGGUCAGUGGAAUUCCGAGUGUAGAGGUGAAAUUCGUAGAUAUUCGGAAGAACACCAGUGGCGAAGGCGACUGACUGGACAAGUAUUGACGCUGAGGUGCGAAAGCGUGGGGAGCAAACAGGAUUAGAUACCCCUGUAGUCCCUGUCUCUUAUAA
RNAcentral lists this ribosomal RNA (301 nucleotides) under uncultured bacterium. Its description in RNAcentral is "partial 16S ribosomal RNA". It matches the Rfam family "Bacterial small subunit ribosomal RNA", at positions 509 to 809 of the family's 1533-position model. The record is from RNAcentral.